This 686-nucleotide ribosomal RNA is filed under the name uncultured marine archaeon. RNAcentral's name for it is "bacterial SSU rRNA". It matches the Rfam family "Archaeal small subunit ribosomal RNA", at positions 24 to 713 of the family's 1478-position model. The record is from RNAcentral.
CUACCGCUAUUGGAGUUCGAUUAAGCCAUGCGAGUCGCGAGAAAUUAGAUUCUCGGCGUACCGCUCAGUAACACGUGGGUAACCUGCCCUAUGCUGGAUAAUAACCUCGGGAAACUGAGUAUAAUGAUCCAUAGUUCACUACGCCUGGAACGGUGAGUGGACGAAAGCUCCGGCGGCAUAGGAUGGGCCUGCGGCGUAUCAGGUUGUAGGGGGUGUAACGUACCCUCUAGCCCUCUACGCGUACGGGUGUUGGGAGACAUAGCCCGGAGAUGGAUUCUGAGACACGAAUCCAGACCCUACGGGGUGCAGCAGGCGCGAAAACUUGGCAAUGCGAGAAAUCGUGACCAGGGAACUCCAAGUGCAUCGGGUAAGACCGGUGCUUUUCUUGACUCUAAAUAGGUCUUGGAAUAAGGGGUGGGUAAGGACGGUGCCAGCCGCCGCGGUAAUACCGGCGCCUCAAGUGGUAGUCGCUUUUAUUGGGCCUAAAACGUCCGUAGCCGGUCUGAUACAUUCGUGGGUAAAUCAACCAGCUCAACUGGUUGAAUUCUGCGAGGACGGUCAGACUUGGGACCGGGAGAGGUGUGGGGUACGCUCAGGGUAGGGGUAAAAUCCUGUCAUCCUGAGCGGACCACCUGUUGCGAAGGCGCCACACUAGAACGGAUCCGACGGUCAGGGGACGAAGCCUA